This 2064-nucleotide ribosomal RNA is filed under the name Klebsiella pneumoniae. RNAcentral's name for it is "bacterial LSU rRNA". It matches the Rfam family "Bacterial large subunit ribosomal RNA", at positions 146 to 2236 of the family's 2925-position model. The record is from RNAcentral. Lineage: Bacteria; Pseudomonadati; Pseudomonadota; Gammaproteobacteria; Enterobacterales; Enterobacteriaceae.
CACUAUCGUUAACUGAAUACAUAGGUUAACGAGGCGAACCGGGGGAACUGAAACAUCUAAGUACCCCGAGGAAAAGAAAUCAACCGAGAUUCCCCCAGUAGCGGCGAGCGAACGGGGAGCAGCCCAGAGUCUGAAUCAGCUUGUGUGUUAGUGGAACGGUCUGGAAAGUCCGACGGUACAGGGUGAUAGUCCCGUACACCAAAAUGCACAGGCUGUGAACUCGAAGAGUAGGGCGGGACACGUGGUAUCCUGUCUGAAUAUGGGGGGACCAUCCUCCAAGGCUAAAUACUCCUGACUGACCGAUAGUGAACCAGUACCGUGAGGGAAAGGCGAAAAGAACCCCGGCGAGGGGAGUGAAAAAGAACCUGAAACCGUGUACGUACAAGCAGUGGGAGCACCUUCGGGUGUGACUGCGUACCUUUUGUAUAAUGGGUCAGCGACUUAUAUUCUGUAGCAAGGUUAACCGUAUAGGGGAGCCGCAGGGAAACCGAGUCUUAACUGGGCGUUAAGUUGCAGGGUAUAGACCCGAAACCCGGUGAUCUAGCCAUGGGCAGGUUGAAGGUUGGGUAACACUAACUGGAGGACCGAACCGACUAAUGUUGAAAAAUUAGCGGAUGACUUGUGGCUGGGGGUGAAAGGCCAAUCAAACCGGGAGAUAGCUGGUUCUCCCCGAAAGCUAUUUAGGUAGCGCCUCGUGAACUCAUCUUCGGGGGUAGAGCACUGUUUCGGCUAGGGGGUCAUCCCGACUUACCAACCCGAUGCAAACUACGAAUACCGAAGAAUGUUAUCACGGGAGACACACGGCGGGUGCUAACGUCCGUCGUGAAGAGGGAAACAACCCAGACCGCCAGCUAAGGUCCCAAAGUCAUGGUUAAGUGGGAAACGAUGUGGGAAGGCACAGACAGCCAGGAUGUUGGCUUAGAAGCAGCCAUCAUUUAAAGAAAGCGUAAUAGCUCACUGGUCGAGUCGGCCUGCGCGGAAGAUGUAACGGGGCUAAACCAUGCACCGAAGCUGCGGCAGCGACACUAUGUGUUGUUGGGUAGGGGAGCGUUCUGUAAGCCUGCGAAGGUGUGCUGUGAGGCAUGCUGGAGGUAUCAGAAGUGCGAAUGCUGACAUAAGUAACGAUAAAGCGGGUGAAAAGCCCGCUCGCCGGAAGACCAAGGGUUCCUGUCCAACGUUAAUCGGGGCAGGGUGAGUCGACCCCUAAGGCGAGGCCGAAAGGCGUAGUCGAUGGGAAACAGGUUAAUAUUCCUGUACUUGGUGUUACUGCGAAGGGGGGACGGAGAAGGCUAUGUUAGCCGGGCGACGGUUGUCCCGGUUUAAGCAUGUAGGCUGGUUGUCCAGGCAAAUCCGGAUAAUCAAGGCUGAGGUGUGAUGACGAGGCACUACGGUGCUGAAGUAACAAAUGCCCUGCUUCCAGGAAAAGCCUCUAAGCAUCAGGUAACAUCAAAUCGUACCCCAAACCGACACAGGUGGUCAGGUAGAGAAUACCAAGGCGCUUGAGAGAACUCGGGUGAAGGAACUAGGCAAAAUGGUGCCGUAACUUCGGGAGAAGGCACGCUGGUGUGUAGGUGAAGUCCCUGCGGAUGGAGCUGAGACCAGUCGAAGAUACCAGCUGGCUGCAACUGUUUAUUAAAAACACAGCACUGUGCAAACACGAAAGUGGACGUAUACGGUGUGACGCCUGCCCGGUGCCGGAAGGUUAAUUGAUGGGGUUAUCCGUAAGGAGAAGCUCUUGAUCGAAGCCCCGGUAAACGGCGGCCGUAACUAUAACGGUCCUAAGGUAGCGAAAUUCCUUGUCGGGUAAGUUCCGACCUGCACGAAUGGCGUAAUGAUGGCCAGGCUGUCUCCACCCGAGACUCAGUGAAAUUGAACUCGCUGUGAAGAUGCAGUGUACCCGCGGCAAGACGGAAAGACCCCGUGAACCUUUACUAUAGCUUGACACUGAACAUUGAGCCUUGAUGUGUAGGAUAGGUGGGAGGCUUUGAAGCGUGGACGCCAGUCUGCGUGGAGCCAACCUUGAAAUACCACCCUUUAAUGUUUGAUGUUCUAACGUUGGCCCCU